UCGAAAAGUAUAUAUCCCUCUGGUUGGAGCAUUCUUGAAGAAGAAGAAAAUUUGUGCGAACGCCCACUGUUUAUGUAAGAAAAAGAGAACAGUGGGCAGAGAUUCCAGACUUUCUACUAAAUUCACACUUCCCUUCACCUCUCACACAUACAUUAAACCCUAAUUCACAAAAUCCUAAUCAGUGACAUGGACGCCGCCCAAAAUCCUUUAUGCGCACAAGAAGCACUCGAUCUUCUAAAUUGCACCACUGAGAAACCUUACGAUAAGGAGAAAUGCCAACGUCUGCUCGAAUCCUUGCGCCAAUGCGUCCUUAACAAGGUAAUUAGAAUUGAUUAUGGUGUGAGCCUCUUUUUUUAUUUAAAUAUGUUUAGUGAUGCUUAUUGUUGGUUUUGAUUCUGUUCCUUACUGUUGUUUUUUUAAACACUUGAAUUUUGAUCUGCAUUUUUCACCUUUGGGUGGCUAGUUAGGUGAAUAACUGGAUAAUCCGCCUAGAGGAACUGUAAUUAAGGGUUUUAAAGCAGAAGUUCUUUGUUUUUUUAAACUGAAUUAAGUUAUAACUAUUGCAAGGGGUGGCAUAGCGGUCAAUGAGUUGGAGUGACAACCUUAGGACUCAAGGUUCAAAUUACUAAGGCGACACUGUGAAUUUUCAUGUGCUUAAGCCUUGGUACACAAAGUUGUCGAAUACUUGCUGGAGGGGUGUAGCAGGUACUCAGUGGAUUAGUAGACCUAUGCACAAGCUGAUUUGAACACAGCUGUUAAACAAAUGCAAGUUAGUGGAUUUCUUGUUUUGCACUAUCUUUAGAUUAUAUAAACUACCUGUUAAGUGAAGCAAAAUUCAUUUUAUAUCUAGAGUUGCUGGCUGUUUUUCAUACUUUAUGGUGCAACUUUUAGAUCAUGGAAAGGAUCAGGGGAAAAUACAAUGAUUAAGAAGUGCCUAACCCUUCUUGUUCGUGCAUUUUAGAUAUGGAAGAAAAGAAAAUGAGGUUCUAGGAAUUGUUCCAGGGGAGUGAUAGAAAGAUUAUGUUGACGUGAUCGAAGCAUGAUGUUUCGAUAGGUGCAUAUAAUACAUUAGAUAGUGCCAACACACAAAAUUGAGUUAUGAGUGAUUUUUUUAAUAACAUUGGUCUCAGGGACUGCUUGCACGCUCCUCGAUUAUUCUACUGGGUACCUGCCACCUCCCACCAGCAUAAAUACCUUGUAACUUUGUCCGAGAUGAUGCAUGUUUUGCGGUCUUGGCAAAUGAGUCUCAUCCAGUAACGAAAUUAACCGAUCAAACCAUAUCAGGAGUUUUGUCUCGUCAAGAGAAACACAACAAUGAAAAUCUCGUCUUAUAAUCCUCCACCUACACCUACAUGCUUGGCUUGAAGUCUUUCUGCCAACAAUGCGAAUGUUCACUGCCCCUCAUUCUUGUCUAAACUGAUGUCAUACAGCCAUUUUACUUACUUGAUAUGUCCAAUCAAUAGUCCCACACCUAGUCGGCAAAGUUUUCAGAAAGUUGGCUGGAGUUUUACUAUGUUUGAUUUUAUUUUAGCAUACUGUUUUGUCAUAUUCAAACCAGAGACAAUAUUAAUUGCGUUCAUAGGGGAGCACGCUUUACGGAGGGAGGUAGUAGUAGAGAAGUAUGGUUUUAUAGAGGGAGGGUGAUGGAGGACUAGAUCUAUCAUGAUCUUGUUUGGGUGUACUAUGUGGCUGAAUAUUAUGAAGGGGUGGGAAGAUUUCAGUGAUCAUAUUACUUUUAGGGUUGGGGAUGGGAGAAGUAGCUUUUGGAACCAUAAGUGAUUAAGUGGUGUGGGGAGGAUGCAUUGAGGGUUUCAUUCCCUAAUGUGUUCAGAGUUUCUAACCAAGGUGAUUUGUCAACAAAUUCAAAGGGUGCAAGAGGAAGAAGUACUUUUGGGAUCUAAACCUAGACUCAGAGUUGGGGG
RNAcentral lists this long non-coding RNA (1922 nucleotides) under Nicotiana tabacum (common tobacco). RNAcentral describes it as "long non-coding RNA (NTAB_LNC008008)". The record is from RNAcentral. Lineage: Eukaryota; Viridiplantae; Streptophyta; Magnoliopsida; Solanales; Solanaceae.